This 77-nucleotide transfer RNA is filed under the name Bryobacteraceae bacterium. Its description in RNAcentral is "tRNA-Ile". It matches the Rfam family "tRNA". From Rfam's summary of the family: Transfer RNA (tRNA) molecules are approximately 80 nucleotides in length. Their secondary structure includes four short double-helical elements and three loops (D, anti-codon, and T loops). Further hydrogen bonds mediate the characteristic L-shaped molecular structure. tRNAs have two regions of fundamental functional importance: the anti-codon, which is responsible for specific mRNA codon recognition, and the 3' end, to which the tRNAs corresponding amino acid is attached (by aminoacyl-tRNA synthetases). tRNAs cope with the degeneracy of the genetic code in two manners: having more than one tRNA (with a specific anti-codon) for a particular amino acid; and 'wobble' base-pairing, i.e. permitting non-standard base-pairing at the 3rd anti-codon position. The record is from RNAcentral. Lineage: Bacteria; Pseudomonadati; Acidobacteriota; Terriglobia; Bryobacterales; Bryobacteraceae.
GCCGGCGUAGCUCAGGUGGUUAGAGCGACGGUCUCAUAAUCCGUAGGCAGCUGGUUCAACUCCAGCCGCCGGCACCA